This 492-nucleotide ribosomal RNA is filed under the name uncultured bacterium. RNAcentral's name for it is "partial 16S ribosomal RNA". It matches the Rfam family "Bacterial small subunit ribosomal RNA", at positions 30 to 507 of the family's 1533-position model. The record is from RNAcentral.
AUUGAACGCUGGCGGCAUGCCUUAUACAUGCAAGUCGAACGGUAACAGGCCUUCGGUUGCCGUCGAGUGGCGAACGGGUGCGUAAUGCUACGGAAUGUAUCCAGUGGCUGGGGAUAAGGGAGCACAAGCGGUGCUAAUAGCUCAUGCCAUCUGAGGAUGAAAGCGGCGGGCCGAGCAGCUAUGAUUGGCCUUUCCUCUUUGGAACGGCCGAUGUCGGAUUAGCUAGUUGGUGGGGUAAAGGCCUACCAAGGCAACGAUCCGUAGCUGGUCUGAGAGGACGACCGGCCACACUGGAACUGAGACACGGCCCAGACUCCUACGGGAGGCAGCAGUGGGGAAUUUUGGACAAUGGGCGAAAGCCUGACCCAGCAAUGCCGCGUGCGGGAAGAAGGCCUUCGGGCUGUAAAACGCUUUUGGCAGGAACGAAACGGUGUCCACUAAAACCGGGCGCUAAUGACGGUACCUGAAGAAUAAGCACCGGCUAACUACGUG